RNAcentral lists this ribosomal RNA (807 nucleotides) under uncultured archaeon. RNAcentral's name for it is "bacterial SSU rRNA". It matches the Rfam family "Archaeal small subunit ribosomal RNA", at positions 85 to 879 of the family's 1478-position model. The record is from RNAcentral.
ACGGCUCAGUAACACGUGGCAAACCUGCCCUUGGGACGGGAUCACCCCCGGGAAACUGGAGCUAAUCCCCGAUAGGUGAAGAACUCUGGAAUGAGUCUUUGCCCAAAAGGCGUCAGAUCAUGCUUCUGGCGUUGCCCAAGGAUGGGGCCGCGACCGAUCAGGUUGUUGGUGAGGUAUGCCCACCAAGCCUAUAACCGGUGCGGGCCGUGAGAGCGGGAGCCCGGAGAUGGGCACUGAGACAAGGGCCCAGGUCCUACGGGGCGCAGCAGUCGCGAAAACUUUGCAAUACACGAAAGUGUGACAGGGUCAUCCCGAGUGCCGACCGCUGAGGUUGGCUUUUACCCAGUCUAGAAAGCUGGGGGAAUAAGGAGAGGGCAAGUCUGGUGUCAGCCGCCGCGGUAAUACCAGCUCUCCGAGUGGUGUGGACGUUUAUUGGGCCUAAAGCAUCCGUAGCUGGCUGAACAAGUCCCCUGUUAAACCCACCGAUUUAAUCGUUGGUCUGCGGGGGAUACUGCUCGGCUAGGGGACGAGAGAGGCAGACGGUAUUCCCGGGGUAGGGGUGAAAUCCUAUAAUCCCGAGAAGACCACCAGUGGCGAAGGCUGUCUGCUAGAACGCGCCCGACGGUGAGGGAUGAAAGCUGGGGGAGCGAACCGGAUUAGAUACCCGGGUAGUCCCAGCUGUAAACGAUGCAGACUAGGUGUUUGGACGGCCACGUGCUGUUCUAGUGCCGCAGGGAAGCUGUUAAGUCUGCCGCCUGGGGAGUACGAUCGCAAGAUUGAAACUUAAAGGAAUUGGCGGGGGAGCAC